Molecule: non-coding RNA, 588 nt
Organism: Mauremys mutica (yellowpond turtle)
Lineage: Eukaryota; Metazoa; Chordata; Testudines; Geoemydidae
Source: the annotation of a RefSeq genome assembly
AUGAGGAUUUGGCUCCAUUUCGUUUUCAUUGUAGCAGCUCUGGGAGGGGUCCGGUCCCAGGUGCAGCUGGUGGAGUCCGGAGGGGAUGUGAAAAAGCCCGGAGACUCUCUCCGCCUCUCCUGCAAAGCGUCCGGCUUCACCUUCGGUGACUACUGGAUGAGCUGGGUCCGGCAGGCUCCUGGCAAGGGCCUGGACUGGGUCGCAACUAUAAGCUAUUGGGCCGGCAGCACUGUGCGUUACGCCGACGCGGUCAAAGGCCGAUUCACCAUCUCCAGAGACAACCCCAACAACCUGCUGUAUCUGCAACUGACCGGCCUGAAGCCCGAGGACACCGCCCGCUAUUACUGUGCGAGACACACAGUGAGGCGAAGCCGGGCUGAGCUCAGACAAAAACCUCCCGUUGCGGUCAGCAGGGAAAGUCCCAGCUGGCCCCCUCCUUCUCCCAGCGAAGUCACUGGAGAAGUUGAGCCCUCAGCGAAGAGCAGUGGGAACGCGGAGUCCGGAGUGCGGAUUAUGGGCCGGACGGUUCUGGCCAAUAAACUAGAAGUGACCUUCCCCGGCAGCCCAUUGGUGAUCCUGUGUGUGUAA